UAUGACCACCAUGCCGCCCUGAACGUACAGGAUCACAUUUGAUUUCAAAAGCUACGCAGGGUUGGGCCGGGUUAUUUCUUAGAUGAGAGACAACCUGAGAUCUCCAGAUAAAAACAAGGAGAAAUCAUUC
This 130-nucleotide ribosomal RNA is filed under the name Pogona vitticeps (central bearded dragon). The record is from RNAcentral. Lineage: Eukaryota; Metazoa; Chordata; Lepidosauria; Squamata; Agamidae.